AACGAACGCUGGCGGCAUGCCUAACACAUGCAAGUCGAACGAGACCUUCGGGUCUAGUGGCGCACGGGUGCGUAACGCGUGGGAACCUGCCCUUAGGUUCGGAAUAACUCCCCGAAAGGGGUGCUAAUACCGGAUAAUGUCUUCGGACCAAAGAUUUAUCGCCUUUGGAUGGGCCCGCGUUGGAUUAGCUAGUUGGUAGGGUAAAAGUCUACCAAGGCGACGAUCCAUAGCUGGUCUGAGAGGAUGAUCAACCACACUGGGACUGAGACACGGCCCAGACUCCUACGGGAGGCAGCAGUGGGGAAUAUUGGACAAUGGGCGAAAGCCUGAUCCAGCAAUGCCGCGUGAGUGAUGAAGGCCUUAGGGUUGUAAAGCUCUUUUACCCGGGAUGAUAAUGACAGUACCGGGAGAAUAAGCUCCGGCUAACUCCGUG
Molecule: ribosomal RNA, 433 nt
Filed under: uncultured bacterium
Lineage: Bacteria
Description: partial 16S ribosomal RNA
Rfam family: Bacterial small subunit ribosomal RNA
Source: RNAcentral